This 87-nucleotide transfer RNA is filed under the name Candidatus Jorgensenbacteria bacterium CG10_big_fil_rev_8_21_14_0_10_54_38. RNAcentral describes it as "tRNA-Ser". It matches the Rfam family "tRNA". Rfam says of the family: Transfer RNA (tRNA) molecules are approximately 80 nucleotides in length. Their secondary structure includes four short double-helical elements and three loops (D, anti-codon, and T loops). Further hydrogen bonds mediate the characteristic L-shaped molecular structure. tRNAs have two regions of fundamental functional importance: the anti-codon, which is responsible for specific mRNA codon recognition, and the 3' end, to which the tRNAs corresponding amino acid is attached (by aminoacyl-tRNA synthetases). tRNAs cope with the degeneracy of the genetic code in two manners: having more than one tRNA (with a specific anti-codon) for a particular amino acid; and 'wobble' base-pairing, i.e. permitting non-standard base-pairing at the 3rd anti-codon position. Lineage: Bacteria; Candidatus Joergenseniibacteriota. The record is from RNAcentral.
GGAGGAGUGCCUGAGUGGUUGAAAGGAACGGUCCUGAAAACCGUUAUACCGGAAACGGUAUCGUGAGUUCGAAUCUCACCUCCUCCG